CGUAGGGUGCGAGCGUUAAUCGGAAUUACUGGGCGUAAAGCGUGCGCAGGCGGUAAUGCAAGACAGAUGUGAAAUCCCCGGGCUUAACCUGGGAACUGCAUUUGUGACUGCAUUGCUGGAGUGCGGCAGAGGGGGAUGGAAUUCCGCGUGUAGCAGUGAAAUGCGUAGAUAUGCGGAGGAACACCGAUGGCGAAGGCAAUCCCCUGGGCCUGCACUGACGCUCAUGCACGAAAGCGUGGGAGCAAACAGGAUU
Molecule: ribosomal RNA, 253 nt
Filed under: uncultured bacterium
Lineage: Bacteria
Description: partial 16S ribosomal RNA
Rfam family: Bacterial small subunit ribosomal RNA
Source: RNAcentral